GACGAACGCUGGCGGCGUGCUUAACACAUGCAAGUCGAACGGAAAGGCCUCUUUCGGGGGGUACUCGAGUGGCGAACGGGUGAGUAACACGUGAGUAACCUGCCCUUGACUUUGGGAUAACUUCAGGAAACUGGGGCUAAUACCAGAUAGGAGCUCCUGCUGCAUGGUGGGGGUUGGAAAGUUUCGGCGGUUGGGGAUGGACUCGCGGCUUAUCAGCUUGUUGGUGGGGUAGUGGCUUACCAAGGCUUUGACGGGUAGCCGGCCUGAGAGGGUGACCGGCCACAUUGGGACUGAGAUUCGGCCCAGACUCCUACGGGAGGCAGCAGUGGGGAAUAUUGCACAAUGGGUGGAAGCCUGAUGCAGCAACGCCGUGUGCGGGAUGACGGCCUUCGGGUUGUAAACCGCUUUCGCUCAUGACGAAGCUUUGUGUGACGGUAGUGGGUAAAGAAGCACCGGCUAACUACGUG
Molecule: ribosomal RNA, 467 nt
Filed under: uncultured bacterium
Lineage: Bacteria
Description: partial 16S ribosomal RNA
Rfam family: Bacterial small subunit ribosomal RNA
Source: RNAcentral